This is a long non-coding RNA of Brassica rapa (field mustard), 3707 nucleotides long. RefSeq lists it as uncharacterized. The record is from RefSeq and is a predicted model, not a curated record. NCBI's taxonomy places the organism in Eukaryota, Viridiplantae, Streptophyta, Magnoliopsida, Brassicales, Brassicaceae.
UCUGAUUUUCUUUAGAUAUUAUAAGUGUGUCACUCCUAUAUUUACGGUAACUACUAUAUUGCCUUCUAUAAAUUUCACCCCUUUAUUAUAAAUUUUUCCAUUUAGUUAUUGAUAUCCCAUACACGAUUUACUAACCAACAUUUUUUUGAUGUAAUAAUAUAUAAACUCGUGGAUCCAUAGACUAAUCUAUUAUGUAUGUGACCAUAUAUAUUAUAUAAUGUUUAUUUUAAUUCUUAAAUUCAUAUAUCUAUAUAAAACGAAUGGUAUGGUGCAUAUCACCAUUAAAUAAUACAUGCCAUUUGAAUUAAAAUAGUCUGGUAAGUAAUACAUGUAUUUUUAAAAAAAUGAGUUAAUGAAGUAUGAUAAAAAAUUAUCACAAAAUCAUAUUUUACUAUAGAACCGAUCAAAUAUAGUAGUAUAUUAUAGUAUUUUCAGUUCAUAAAAAAUGAUAUUAACAUAUAAGUACUGAACAAAUUUGAAAAAAUGCAUAUGAAAUUAGUUAAAAAUUAUCCUCAGGCCAACUUAUUUAAUUGAGUUUUUACUAUAAUUCAUAUACAACCACUUAAACUAUAUUAUGGAAAAUAAAAAAAUACAAAUAAUUUAGAAAAUAUUGCUCCAUAUUCUCUCUUUUUUUUAUAAAAAAAUAAAUUGACUUGAUUUUUACUUAUGAAGCACAAUUACUAAAAUCCAAAAUAGUGAUUAGUAUUUUUUUUGGGCAACAAAUAAUGUUUAGUGUAAAAGAUGCUCAAAUAUAAGUCCACUUUUGUAAUUCAAUUUAAAUAACAAAAUAAAUUUACAAAUAUAAUUAGGUCCAGAAUUAAUAUUUAUAUUAUUUGAGUUUUAAGCUUGUAGGUUUCCGCGGGUUAUUCAAUCAUAUAUUAGAUACAAAACAUAUUGAGAUUAGUAUAAACUCUUCACUAGGUUUGGAAUACCUAAGUUAAACAAGAUUUUUUUCUUUUGAAAAAGUAUUAAUCCCGUGCUUCAAAGCUUGAUUCAAAAGUUUGAAUUGAGUUUUGAAAAAAAUAUCAUCCAAUUUAUAUGGGAUUUUAUCGGGUCAACCAAUAUUGGAUAGAGGGUUAAUGAUAGUUUUUACGUUUUUACCGACUCUUAUCAAAUUUGUAUAUAUAAGGUUUUAAGUCAAUAAAUAACUUUUACUUCAUUUUUUAGUUUUUAAUUUUGUUUGAUAUUCUAAAUUUUCAAUUAAGAAGUUAGGUACUGACAAAAAAAUAAGUUAUGUUUUUUUUUUCACUUUUAUAUUUGUGUUUUUUUUUUUAUUUUGAUGAAGAUUUGCACUAUGUCACCUGAAGAAAAUAAAGUAAACGAUGGUAGAGAGAACCAAAAUUAGUUGAUGUUAUUUGGUGUUAGUUUAUUUCCGUUAUCGAUAAUUUAUUAUAAUGAUCUUUUACUUUUGGUUUAUUUUGUAUUUGUAGUUUAAUUUAUUAUUCACAUUUAAAUAUUUAAAUAUUUAUAAAUUUUAUGUUUUGAUUUAUUUUAAAUGCCAUAACUCCUAUCUUGUCAGAGAAAAUUUUAAAUAGUCUAAACUAUUUUUUUGAUAUUUUGUUUGUCAAAUGAAAAUAAAAAUAUAAAAACCAAAGUUGAGUAUUUUCUAAAUGUUUUUAAACAUAAAAUAUAUACAUAUCCAAACUAUUAUUUUAUGUUUAAAAAGAUAGAAAAUAUUAAACUUUAGUUUCUAUACUUUUAUUUGCAUAGCUGAUAUAUUAUUAUAUAAUAAAUUAAUUAAUUUAUUAACCUACGGUUCACCCGCGGUCGAUCCAGUGACUCAGCAACCCGGUAAUCUAUCCGGUUCAGUGUCCGGGUCGGGUUUAAAAACAUUGGUUUUAACAAAAUUCAGACCAGAUUUAUAUGAAUCACCUGAUUUACUUAUGAGACUGUAGGUUUGGUUCAGGUAUGAAAACACUGCUAAAAUUAUUAAAAAUUCUAAAUAUAUAUACUAUUAGAUUAGCCCAAAAUCUGUCUAGUAAUUUUUUUGUCUCAUCAACUCAACAAAUAUAACUUUUACAAAAUACACACAAAAUGCAACGAUGACGUUGUAACAUAAGAAUACACAUAUAAAAUCUAAAAUAAACUAUUUGAUAAAUUAUAUAAUUUUAAACUAAAAUUCUUUUACUUUUUCGAUAUAAUAACACUUUAUAACUUAAUAAUAUAGUUCAAAAUAUCAAAACCAAAAUAAUAAUUCAUAUCAAACAAUAUUCUUAAUCGAAAAAAAAACCCGCGCUUUUGAAGCGCGGGUUAAAAUCUAGUUUAGUAUUAAUUUUGCUUUUUUAAAAUACUGAUCAAAAUAUAAUUGCAAAAUAUUAUUUGAUAAUAAUUUUUCUUCUAAUGUUGGGACAUGUGUUUAAAUAUAUACUGAUUAAAAAUAUAUAUGAUAAGAUAAUAAAAACGAAUUUUGAAAACUACUUGGGAAAAUUUUACUUUUACACUUUGUUUGAUACCACUAUUCAAUUUUACCACCAAUUUAGGGAUAUUUUCAUAAAUAUCAUUUUCAAUAAUGAACAAAAUAUAAUAGUACCCUUACCUUAUCUUCUACUCAAUCAUCGACUCUUCCUCUCUCUUUUUGAGAUCCAUCUUAUCUUGGACUUACCGUCGAGAUCCCCCGUCUCCGUCGAGAUCCGCCGUCUCCGUCGAGAUCCACCGUUUCUGUCGAGAUCCGCCGUCUCCAUCGAGAUCCGCCAUCUCUCUCUCACACAACCGGCGACGAAAACGGAUUACAGAGAAUCGCGAUUCAAAGCCUUCAAAUGUUGAUUCCUGUUCAAGAUUCACAACUCUUAGACAGUAAUGAAUCUUGCAUGAUUGCCUCCAAGGAUUUAUGAAGCUGUAACAGAACCACUAGACAAUCCAAAAGUGAUUAUCCAAUCGGUGUCUUGGUCAAUAAUUGUUGUGCAAUUAGUUCAACAAGGAUAUAAAAUGAAGAAAAGCUAAGGGGAACGAGGAUUUGUGGUUUUACUUUUUGCAGCAUAUGAUGUAAGGCAAUAACACAUGAAAGAAGAUAAAAAUAAAGAGAAAAGAAAGCUUAAGAGAAAAUAAAAGUUUAUAAAUAAUUUAUAAAAAUAUAUAAAACAGUUUUAAAAGUUUAUAAGCUAUUUAUAAAGGUUUAUAUAUUAUUUGUAAGAGUCUCAAAACCAUUUAUAAAUGUUUAUAAAACAAUUAAUAAAGUCUAUAAAUCAUUUAUAAUUGUUUAUAAAAACGUUAAGAAAGUAUAUACACAAUUAAUAUGGGUUAUGUAUUCAAUUUAUAAGGUUUAUAGGUUUAGGAACCAAUUAGAAAGUCUCUUAAAUAAUUUAUAAGAGUCUAAAGUAAUUUAUAAGGACUUAUAGAAACAAUUUAUAAGAAUUUGUAAAAUUGUGUAUAAGGGUUUAUAAGGAUAUAUAAAUAAUUAAUAAGAGUUUAUAAAUCAUUUAUAAAAAUUACUAAAAACAAUUUCUGAAUUUUAUAAAAAUUUUAAAAAGAGUUUGUAAAAUUGUUCAUAAGGGUUUAUAAGGAUAUAUAAUUAAUUAAUAAGAGUUUAUAAAUCAUUUAUAAAAAUUACUAAAAACAAUUUCUGACUUAUAAAAACAAUUUAUAAGGGUUUGUAAAAUUAUUUAUAAGGGUUUAUAAGGAUAUAUAAAUAAUUAAUAAGAGUUUAUAAAUCAUUUAUAAAAACUACUAAAAACAAUUUCUGAAUUUUAUAAACCUUUUAAAAAGGUUUA